UACGAAGGGGGCUAGCGUUGCUCGGAAUCACUGGGCGUAAAGGGUGCGUAGGCGGGUCUUUAAGUCAGGGGUGAAAUCCUGGAGCUCAACUCCAGAACUGCCUUUGAUACUGAGGAUCUUGAGUCCGGGAGAGGUGAGUGGAACUGCGAGUGUAGAGGUGAAAUUCGUAGAUAUUGGGAAGAACACCGGUGGCGAAGGCGGCUCACUGGCUCGUUUCUGACGCUCAGGCGCGAUAGCGUGGGGAUCAAACAGG
This 253-nucleotide ribosomal RNA is filed under the name uncultured bacterium. Its description in RNAcentral is "partial 16S ribosomal RNA". It matches the Rfam family "Bacterial small subunit ribosomal RNA", at positions 524 to 776 of the family's 1533-position model. The record is from RNAcentral.